ACAGUGUAACCCAACACAUUGCGAACCGAAAUCAGGGCAGGGAGAGAGAGGGAGAGAGAGAGAGAGAGAGGAGCAUCUGAAAAUGGCGGCUAUGGUCGCGAACAGAGCAGCUUCGGGGGAGAGAACAGCCAGUCUCUGGAGGCUAUCGUUUAACUUCCUCAGAAAUUUGAGCACUUCUUCUUCUCCUCCCAAUGCUACUACUGCUUCUGCAACAAACCCUAUAGCUUCGUCGGAGGCGAAGAAGCCAAAGCGCAGGAAGAAGAAGAACUUGUUCGAGGUGGCUCAUUUUCUCCCCAACUGGGGAGUUGGAUACCACAUGUCCAAGACUCAUUGGACCAAUGUCUCUUAUGAGAUCACCAAGAUCAAUCUCUACAAGGAUGGUAGGCAUGGCAAAGCUUGGGGAAUUGCUUAUAAGGAUGCCAGAUAUGAAGAACUAGGGAAGAAACAAAUGUGAUUUGCGAAUUUCACUCUACCAAUAAAACACACGAGAAAGAUCAACUAUAAAGAAGGUUCACCAACUGCACCUCUCAAGAAAAUAAGUGGAGUUCACAAGCGUUGUUGGAGAUACAUUCCACACCCAAAGAUAACAGAAGAAAGCACCCCAAAACCAGAAGCUCAAGCAGCUUGAUGUCAUUUCUUUAGUCUUCUUCAAGUUCUAACUGGCCUCUCACAUUCUGACGUCUAUUCAUUUUGGUUGAAGGUUGAUGCUAUCAAGGCGCAGUCACUGGGAGAGUUUUGGUUAAUGAGUUAGUAUUCUUCAAGCAAUUCUUAGGUCUGGAUGAUUUGAAUUGAUGCUCAAUGAGCUAUGCGAUGAAACCCACUGAACUUCGAAUUUUUUUUUUUUU
Molecule: RNA transcript, 845 nt
Organism: Camellia sinensis
Lineage: Eukaryota; Viridiplantae; Streptophyta; Magnoliopsida; Ericales; Theaceae
Gene name: 28S ribosomal S34 protein
Source: RefSeq, a predicted model, not a curated record